Molecule: ribosomal RNA, 231 nt
Filed under: uncultured bacterium
Lineage: Bacteria
Description: partial 16S ribosomal RNA
Rfam family: Bacterial small subunit ribosomal RNA
Source: RNAcentral
AACGUAGGACACAAGCGUUAUCCGGAGUUACUGGGCGUAAAGGGCGUGUAGGCGGAGAUGUAAGUCUAUUCUGAAAGCUCCUGGCUAAACUGGGAGAGGCGAAUGGAGACUGCAUAUCUAGAGUGAGGAAGAGGAAAGUGGAAUUCCGCGUGUAGUGGUGAAAUGCGUAGAGAUGCGGAGGAACACCAGUGGCGAAGGCGGGUCUCUGGGCCGAGUACUGACGCUGAGGAG